AGAUAUGAAACUUUAAAAACAAUUACAAAUUUAGACAAAAUUAGUCUAAAUUUGUAAUUGUUUUUAAAGUUUCAUAUCU
This is a non-coding RNA of Paramuricea clavata, 79 nucleotides long. The record is from the annotation of a GenBank genome assembly. NCBI's taxonomy places the organism in Eukaryota, Metazoa, Cnidaria, Anthozoa, Malacalcyonacea, Plexauridae.